AAGUCAGAUGUGAAAAGCCCGGGGCUCAACCUCGGAAUUGCAUUUGAAACUGGCAAACUAGAGUACUGUAGAGGGGGUAGAAUUUCAGGUGUAGCGGUGAAAUGCGUAGAGAUCUGAAGGAAUACCGGUGGCGAAGGCGGCCCCCUCGGACAGAUACUGACACUCAGAUGCGAAAGCGUGGGGAGCAAACAGGAUUAGAUACCCUGGUAG
RNAcentral lists this ribosomal RNA (210 nucleotides) under uncultured bacterium. RNAcentral describes it as "partial 16S ribosomal RNA". It matches the Rfam family "Bacterial small subunit ribosomal RNA", at positions 585 to 793 of the family's 1533-position model. The record is from RNAcentral.